Molecule: ribosomal RNA, 433 nt
Filed under: uncultured bacterium
Lineage: Bacteria
Description: partial 16S ribosomal RNA
Rfam family: Bacterial small subunit ribosomal RNA
Source: RNAcentral
AACGAACGCUGGCGGCAUGCCUAACACAUGCAAGUCGAACGAGACCUUCGGGUCUAGUGGCGCACGGGUGCGUAACGCGUGGGAACCUGCCCUUAGGUUCGGAAUAACUUCCCGAAAGGGGUGCUAAUACCGGAUAAUGUCUUCGGACCAAAGAUUUAUCGCCUUUGGAUGGGCCCGCGUUGGAUUAGCUAGUUGGUAGGGUAAAAGCCUACCAAUGCGACGAUCCAUAGCUGGUCUGAGAGGAUGAUCAGCCACACUGGGACUGAGACACGGCCCAGAAUCCUACGGAAAGCGGGAGUAGGGGAUAUUGGACGAUGGGGGGAGGGCUGACGCAGCAAUGACGCGUGAGUGAUGAAGGCCUUAGGGUUGUAAAGCCCUUUUAACCGGGAUGAGAAUGACAGUACCGGGUGAAUAAGCUCCGGCUAACUCCGUG